GAUCUGUAGCCGAACUGAGAGGUUGAUCGGCCGCAUUGGGACUGAGACACGGCCCAGACUCCUACGGGAGGCAGCAGUGGGGAAUAUUGCGCAAUGGGGGCAACCCUGACGCAGCAACGCCGCGUGCAGGAAGAAGGUCUUCGGAUUGUAAACUGUUGUCGCAAGGGAAGAAGACAGUGACGGUACCUUGUGAGAAAGUCACGGCUAACUACGUGCCAGCAGCCGCGGUAAUACGUAGGUGACAAGCGUUGUCCGGAUUUACUGGGUGUAAAGGGCGCGUAGGCGGACUGUCAAGUCAGUCGUGAAAUACCGGGGCUUAACCCCGGGGCUGCGAUUGAAACUGACAGCCUUGAGUAUCGGAGAGGAAAGCGGAAUUCCUAGUGUAGCGGUGAAAUGCGUAGAUAUUAGGAGGAACACCAGUGGCGAAGGCGGCUUUCUGGACGACAACUGACGCUGAGGCGCGAAAGUGUGGGGAGCAAACAGGAUUAGAUACCCUGGUAGUCCACACCGUAAACGAUGGAUACUAGGUGUAGGAGGUAUCGACCCCUUCUGUGCCGCAGUUAACACAAUAAGUAUCCCACCUGGGGAGUACGACCGCAAGGUUGAAACUCAAAGGAAUUGACGGGGGCCCGCACAAGCAGUGGAGUAUGUGGUUUAAUUCGAAGCAACGCGAAGAACCUUACCUGGGCUUGACAUCCCUGGAAUCGAGUAGAGAUACUUGAGUGCCUUCGGGAAUCAGGUGACAGGUGGUGCAUGGUUGUCGUCAGCUCGUGUCGUGAGAUGUUGGGUUAAGUCCCGCAACGAGCGCAACCCCUAUUGUCAGUUGCCAUCAUUAAGUUGGGCACUCUGGCGAGACUGCCGGUGACAAAUCGGAGGAAGGUGGGGACGACGUCAAAUCAUCAUGCCCCUUAUGCCCAGGGCUACACACGUACUACAAUGGCCGAUAACAAAGUGCAGCGAAACCGUGAGGUGGAGCGAAUCACAAAACUCGGUCUCAGUUCAGAUUGCAGGCUGCAACUCGCCUGCAUGAAGUUGGAAUUGCUAGUAAUCGCGGAUCAGAAUGCCGCGGUGAAUACGUUCCCGGGCCUUGUACACACCGCCCGUCACACCAUGAGAGUCGAUAACACCCGAAGCCUGUGAGCUAACCUAUUAGGAGGCAGCAGUCGAAGGUGGGGUUGAUGAUUGGGGUGAAGUCGGAACAAGGUAGCCGUAUCGGAAGGUGCGGCUG
RNAcentral lists this ribosomal RNA (1228 nucleotides) under metagenome. Its description in RNAcentral is "bacterial SSU rRNA". It matches the Rfam family "Bacterial small subunit ribosomal RNA", at positions 278 to 1520 of the family's 1533-position model. The record is from RNAcentral.